AACGUACGCUGGCGGCACGCUUAACACAUGCAAGUCGAACGAAGUAGCAAUACUUAGUGGCAGACGGGUGAGUAACAUGUGGGUAUCUGCCCUUUGGCCUGGAAUAACACGAGGAAACUUGUGCUAAUACCGGAUAAGUCUUUACGGAGAAAGCUUUAUGCACCAUUGGAUGAGCCCGCACUUGAUUAGUUUGUUGGUGGGGUAAUGGCCUACCAAGACUGUGAUCAAUAGCUGAUUUGAGAGGAUGAUCAGCCACAUUGGGACUGAGACACGGCCCAAACUCCUACGGGAGGCAGCAGUGGGGAAUCUUGCACAAUGGAGGAAACUCUGAUGCAGCGAUGCCGCGUGAGUGAAGAAGGCCCUUGGGUUGUAAAGCUCUUUCGUCGGGGAAGAAAAUGACUGUACCCGAAUAAGAAGGUCCGGCUAACUUCGUGCCAGCAGCCGCGGUAAUACGAAGGGACCUAGCGUAGUUCGGAAUUACUGGGCUUAAAGAGUUCGUAGGUGGUUGAAAAAGUUAGUGGUGAAAUCCCAGAGCUUAACUCUGGAACUGCCAUUAAAACUUUUCAGCUAGAGUGUGAUAGAGGAAAGCAGAAUUUCUAGUGUAGAGGUGAAAUUCGUAGAUAUUAGAAAGAAUACCAAUUGCGAAGGCAGCUUUCUGGAUCAUUACUGACACUGAGGAACGAAAGCAUGGGUAGCGAAGAGGAUUAGAUACCCUCGUAGUCCAUGCCGUAAACGAUGUGUGUUAGACGUUGGAAAUUUAUUUUCAGUGUCGCAGCGAAAGCGAUAAACACACCGCCUGGGGAGUACGACCGCAAGGUUAAAACUCAAAUGAAUUGACGGGGACCCGCACAAGUAGUGGAGCAUGUGGUUUAAUUCGAAGAUACGCGCAGAACCUUACCAACACUUGACAUGUUCGUCGCGACUCUAAGAGAUUAGAGUUUUCGGUUCGGCCGGACGAAACACAGGUGCUGCAUGGCUGUCGUCAGCUCGUGUCGUGAGAUGUUGGGUUAAGUCCCGCAACGAGCGCAACCCUCACUUUUAGUUGCCAUCAUUAAGUUGGGCACUCUGAAAGAACUGCCAGUGAUAAGCUGGAGGAAGGUGGGGAUGACGUCAAGUCCUCAUGGCCCUUACGUGUUGGGCUACACACGUGCUACAAUGGUAUCUACAACAGGAAGCAAGACUGCGAGGUCAAGCAAAUCCUUAAAAGAUACCUCAGUUCGGAUUGCACUCUGCAACUCGAGUGCAUGAAGCUGGAAUUACUAGUAAUCGUGGAUCAGCGUGCCACGGUGAAUGCGUUCCCGGGUCU
This 1306-nucleotide ribosomal RNA is filed under the name uncultured bacterium. RNAcentral describes it as "bacterial SSU rRNA". It matches the Rfam family "Bacterial small subunit ribosomal RNA", at positions 28 to 1381 of the family's 1533-position model. The record is from RNAcentral.